AGAAGCUUAGGUUCACCCAAACCGGAAGCCUUCAAAGCCUCAAACAAGAGUUAGACCCUCUUAGCUUCUG
This 70-nucleotide transfer RNA is filed under the name Phylloscopus collybita (eurasian chiffchaff). RNAcentral describes it as "tRNA-Trp". It matches the Rfam family "tRNA". Rfam says of the family: Transfer RNA (tRNA) molecules are approximately 80 nucleotides in length. Their secondary structure includes four short double-helical elements and three loops (D, anti-codon, and T loops). The record is from RNAcentral. RNAcentral also lists the same sequence under 1 other name. Lineage: Eukaryota; Metazoa; Chordata; Aves; Passeriformes; Phylloscopidae.